Molecule: RNA transcript, 1897 nt
Organism: Prosopis cineraria
Lineage: Eukaryota; Viridiplantae; Streptophyta; Magnoliopsida; Fabales; Fabaceae
Exons: 16
Source: RefSeq, a predicted model, not a curated record
GACCGAGCGCAGCUUCUUGCAUUUUCCUGUGCACUGGUUCUUCUUUGACUACCGUCGAACAUGCAAAAUAUUAUUCCCAAGAAACUUCCAAAUUAAUGACGGCAAAAACUUUCAAGUUUCCCGCCAAAGCCAAGUCCGCCGCGUUUCUCGCUGCCGCCGCUGCCAUUUCCUUGCCAGCCACCAACUACGUUCUCACUCUUCCCUCCUCCGAUUCUUUUCCCGGCAAAAUCAGCACAGUGAUCCAUGGCAUCUUACGCUCCUCUCGCGCCAUCACCACCGUUGCUUGCACGGUUACUGACUACAAGUACUCUUUGCGCGGGCUUCAAAAGGACUCCAACGAGUAUCGUCACGAGAUGUCCGAGGUUCAUCUACGCUCAGCCAAGAGGAUUUUGAAGUUAUGCGAAGCCAAUAAAGGAUUUUAUGUGAAAGCUGGACAGUUUGUUUCUGCCCAGGGUGUGAUUCCCAGGGAAUACUCGUCAACUUUGUCAGCAUUACAGGAUCAGGUUGCUCCUUGUUCUUUUAAAGCAAUAAAAGAAGUAUUAAUGCAUAACCUGGGACCGGAGUUCUCUGAGAUGUUUUUGUCAGUCAGUGAACAACCAAUAGCUGCUGCAUCUAUUUCUCAAGUUCACCGUGCAGUGUUGAAAAGCGGUCAUGAAGUUGCAAUUAAGGUACAAUAUCCUGAUUUAGAGCAGCAGAUGGAUUUUGACACAAGAACCAUGUCUUUCCUAUCCAAAACUAUUGCACAUUUUUUUCCUGAAUACAGAUUUGAAUGGUUGACAUUGGGGUUUACGAAGGCCAUAGCAUUAGAACUGGAUUUUGUUCAGGAGGCAAGAAAUUCUGAGAGAGCUGCUAGAAACUUCAGAAACAACAAAUUCAUCAGGGUUCCACAUGUAUUCUGGGAGUUGACUACCAGACAAGUACUGACCAUGCAGUUUUGUACAGGACAGAAGAUUGAUGAUCUAGACUUUCUGAAGCAGAUUGGGGCUGAUCCUGAGAAGGUUGCAAGUGCAUUGGUAAAACUUUUCGCUGAAAUGAUAUUUGUGCAUGGUUACAUACAUGGUGAUCCACACCCUGGAAAUAUCCUAGUUUCCCCUGAUAGUUGUAAUGGCUUCUCUUUGGUUCUUCUCGACCAUGGAAUCUACUGGGAAUUGAAUGAAGAAUUUAGGAAGGACUUUUGUCAUUUAUGGGAGGCUUUGCUUCUGCAAGACUCGAAGAAAAUAAUGUGUCUUGGUGAGAGAUUUGGCAUCGGGAAGUAUUCUAAAUACCUGCCUAUCAUUUUCACCGGAAGAAACAUUGAAAGUAAAUCUGGUCUUGCCAGCGGAAUGUCAAUUGAGGAGAAAGAAAGUAUGAAAAAGGAGCUGAAGUCUCUUUUAUUUGAGGACUUAUCUCCAUUCAUGGAGUCUCUGCCACCUGAGUUUCUCUCUAUUAUGCGUGUAGACGGGCUUUUAAGGUCUAUUGUCAGAAAGUUAGGCGCCUCGCGAUGGAUCAGGUGGCUAGCUUAUGCCAAAUAUGGGAUGUACGGUAUCUAUAAAGAGUCGGAUGCUGAAUCAGAAUUGGCAUGUGUUUUUUCCUCGUUUUUUUCAUGCUUCCAGAUUUUGCCGUGAAAGCUGUGUUCUUCAGAUUCAUAUCAGAGUUAAAAUAUUAUGAGAUCUUAAUAAAGCUCGCCGUUGGGGAGAUUGAGGCUAGGUUUGUAGUGCCUCUGUUGCAGAAGGUGAAGAACGCACUAAUUUACUUGUAUGGCGAAGUCGGUAGUGACUUUUGGGCCUUCCUGAUGCACUGUUUUUUUCUCUUUUCGAUACGUCAUGGUGCAAUUUGUUAAACUGAGUUUUAUACCAUAAAGUUUAGGAGUCUGGGCUAGGGCCCAAAAAGAAUAAGGCCAAUCCAACCCUUUUUCUUA